CUUCAGCGAGCCCAGCCGCAGAGGUUCGGCGUCGCCGCGUCCCACCCCGUACGUGGCGAGCAGCGCCUGAGCCUC
RNAcentral lists this antisense RNA (75 nucleotides) under Micromonospora echinofusca. Its description in RNAcentral is "ASpks TB sRNA". It matches the Rfam family "ASpks TB sRNA". The record is from Rfam by way of RNAcentral. Lineage: Bacteria; Bacillati; Actinomycetota; Actinomycetes; Micromonosporales; Micromonosporaceae.